UAAAAAAAUAGCGCCAGACCUUUUUAAAAAAGGAGACGAGGAAAAAGAGUUAUCGAAAAUUCGGCGGAUGCUCUUUGGGUUAUCACAACCUGAAUAAUAUACAAAAAUUAUAAGAGAUUAUAAAACAAAAAUA
Molecule: non-coding RNA, 133 nt
Filed under: uncultured Leptotrichia sp.
Lineage: Bacteria; Fusobacteriati; Fusobacteriota; Fusobacteriia; Fusobacteriales; Leptotrichiaceae
Description: glmS glucosamine-6-phosphate activated ribozyme
Rfam family: glmS glucosamine-6-phosphate activated ribozyme aptamer
About the family: This entry contains a glucosamine-6-phosphate activated ribozyme that is found in the mRNA for GlmS. GlmS is an enzyme that uses fructose-6-phosphate and glutamine to generate glucosamine-6-phosphate. The ribozyme catalyses self cleavage of the glmS mRNA that is thought to regulate GlmS activity.
Source: RNAcentral